UAUGUAGAUAUGAAGGUAAACGUACAAU
RNAcentral lists this small RNA (28 nucleotides) under Bombyx mori (domestic silkworm). RNAcentral's name for it is "ovarian small RNA-23999". Lineage: Eukaryota; Metazoa; Arthropoda; Insecta; Lepidoptera; Bombycidae. The record is from RNAcentral.